This is a long non-coding RNA of Astatotilapia calliptera (eastern happy), 1820 nucleotides long. Lineage: Eukaryota; Metazoa; Chordata; Actinopteri; Cichliformes; Cichlidae. The record is from Ensembl.
AGGAAGGGCCUCUGGUCUAAAACAUCUGUCGAGUCAAACAUGCGGAGCUGCCUGCUGUGGACCCCUUGUGAUAAGGGAGCAGCUGAAAGUAACUAUAUAAUUACAUCCAAUAUGGCACCUAUGCAUUCAAGAAUUUAAAAAAAUGACCUGGGCUUUCUAUGAAGAGAAUUUAAAUUUAUUUUAUUUUAUUUAAAAACUGGUAUAAUUGAAUUGGAAACUAUCUUGAAUAAGUUGAAUGCUGAUUGGUUGUUUUUGCUGAUUUUUGUUUCUGUACUUUGGGACUCGUUAUUGUGCAGUAUAACUCUUUCCUAAUGUUGUGUCGGGCUGUAAAACUGAAACCCCAUCUUGACCAGCUUUUCUUAAAAAUAGCUGCUACCUGCAACAAAGGUUAAAUAUAAAUGAAAAACAACACAUUUGUCGAGUGUGAGAAUUCCAGGGUUUUUUUUUUUUUUUUUUAUAGACCAGUAGAUGGUAGAGGAGAAAAAGGUGAAACUUAGAGUUAAAUCAAAACCGACUGAGUUCAGGGCCCCGCUACACAUUGUCAAGAGAAGUGAAAUUAGACGAGUUACAGCAAGACUUGCCUGUCAAACAACAAGAUGACUGAGAAUUGACAGGAGGGCUGGAGCAGUAAGUGACUACACAGGAAGCAUGACUGCAAAGGUCAAUGUUUCUCCCUUAUAUUUAGGAAAAACACAUUAUGCUUUCUGUCAAUAUGAAAUGUUAAUAAUUUACAUAGCUAAUAAUUUACUGCUCAGCGACUAUAAAUUAUUCUGUACUUUUUUUAUGCUGAAUGAUUUUUGUUUGUGCUCUGAGGCUGAAUGUGUGUUUUGUUAAGAGAUUUAUAAGUAAAGGGAGAAGGGAGGCUAGCUUUUGUUGUUAAUGACUCAAAACAUUGACUGACGGAGUGUAACAGCUACUGCUGCUCACACACAGACUUGUAUAGAUGAUGAAUUGUUAUUCCAGGAGGGAGUGCUGUGGACUUCUGUGGAAGAUUAAACAUCUGGAAUGAAAGGACAUCUUUCUCCUUCUUGUACAAUGCUGUCAUUUAUUUGUCUUUUGUUUUGUUUUUUAACAAAACACCUUAAUUGUAAUGAGUAUGUUUUGCAUGACAAGAAUAAAGAUUAAAUAAAUGUAAGAUCAAAUCAAUAACUGGAUUCCAGGUUUUAUACUUGUGUGAGAUUCAAGGAUGGAGCGAUUUCAUGAAUCUUAAAGCCAAAUAGCUUUUCAGGUGUGAAUGGUGUUAUACCAUCAUGUUUUUUUUUUUGUUUUGUUUUUUUGUUUGUUUGUUUUUGCUUUGUUUGAGUUGGGCGUACUGUAAUUUGAGCAUUUAUAUAAUUUUAAAGAUUUUUUUUUUACCUUAAGUAUCAAGACAGUCAAGAAUGAAUUGGGCUUCAAUUCAUCAUUUAUUCCUUAAGAUAGACCAACUAAAGACUGAGAAGCUACAGAUAUAACAUUGCAGCUGACUGUUCUGCUAAAGUUCAGUUUGUCUCAAACAAAAAUUGAGGCAGAGCAGAAAACAGGCUGUGGCCUAAUCUGACGUACCUCGCCCAUUAACCAGAAACACUGAGUCUUUGACUUGGGUCAUUAGCUCUCAUUCAGUGCAGAAGAUUAUUUCUACCUUCAGGGGCAUCUUGGCUUUUGAAAAAUGCUCAUAAAGCUACAGUAAAAUGUCAGAUUACUAAUUUAUCAGGUUUUCAGUACUCCUGUCUUCUUCAAGUACUAUUUCUCACUGCUACUACAGUCUGUCAGGCUUUUCUCUUAUCAUUUUCUUUUUACCCAAGGCACUUCAAGGUUAUAAAAAAAUUAACAUAAGGUUGUGA